UCUAGCAUGUGCGCGAGUCAUUGGGACUUUUUUUCAGGAAAGCCCAGAGGCGCAAUGAAAGUGAAGAUCGGCCUUUUCGGCUUGAUCGAGGGAGGAUGGCUCGUUGUUAUUUUUUUAUAAUGACGGGCUCGCACUCCCGGGGCGUCUCGCGCUCAUUUCGAGCGGAGGCGCACCCAGAGCGUACACGCUGGGACCCGAAAGAUGGUGAACUAUGCCUGGUCAGGACGAAGUCAGGGGAAACCCUGAUGGAGGUCCGUAGCGAUUCUGACGUGCAAAUCGAUCGUCGGAACUGGGUAUAGGGGCGAAAGACUAAUCGAACCAUC
Molecule: ribosomal RNA, 323 nt
Filed under: Kapala sp. UCRC ENT00091865
Lineage: Eukaryota; Metazoa; Arthropoda; Insecta; Hymenoptera; Eucharitidae
Also listed under: 1 other name
Description: eukaryotic LSU rRNA
Rfam family: Eukaryotic large subunit ribosomal RNA
Source: RNAcentral